CCCUUUGCCAGUCAAUGAUGAUGAUGCAAAGUGAAUCAAAAUCCCAUAUAUAUUCGACAUUAUAAUUUACCAGUGAACAUAAUGAGUUAUGAUUGUUACUUUGGAUGGUUCCAUUGUGUGUGUCUGUGUCAGCUGCUCCAGCAGGUCCUUCCACAUCCUUGCGGCUCGCAUGUUUUUCGCCUUUUCACCGGCUUCAAUUUAAUAACGAGGAGACGAGCGGAAAGAAGACUACGACGGCAGCAACGUGCAGCAAGCAACAAAGCAAUUGAGGGCCACUUUUAUCAUCAAAUGAUUUUACCCCAGCUCAGACGGCGCAAUUUCCACGAAGAAGUUCACUGAAAGACUAAAAGGGAACACAACAACUCAACAAGCCAAGCAUUUUUCGAUUUCUAGAGAUGUACUUUAUAUGACAUAUCUGUGAUAUAUAUUGUGUACCGAAACUAAGUGUCCUUCCACCUAACUUGCAUAAUUAUAACAUGAAAAUCAGGCCGAAAGCAGAUGCAGAACUACUAAAAAAAUUUACUUAAUUCUAAAGGACAUGAUGGAAAAACAAGCCAAGACUUGUGCACAUAAGGACAACGGAAUGGUGUCCUGAGUGUGGGAACUUCACAAAAAAAAAAUCCCCUUUGGUGUGAUGGUUUCUGUAUGGGAGUGCAACGCAAAUAUAAUAAAAUGGCCAACACAUCGACAUCGUGGACAGCGGAUGGAAGGUACGAGGGACGAUGGUGCAGCAGCAUCUAUGCUCCUUGUCAAAGGAUAACACACUCACACUAGCUAGAAGUCGUCGUCGUCGCAGG
This is a long non-coding RNA of Drosophila serrata, 797 nucleotides long. NCBI's taxonomy places the organism in Eukaryota, Metazoa, Arthropoda, Insecta, Diptera, Drosophilidae. The record is from RefSeq and is a predicted model, not a curated record.